UACGUAGGGUGCGAGCGUUAAUCGGAAUUACUGGGCGUAAAGUGUGCGCAGGCGGCAGAGCAAGUCGAGUGUGAAAGCCCCGGGCUUAACUUGGGAAUUGCGCUCGAAACUACUUUGCUGGAGUGUGGCAGAGGAAGGUGGAAUUCCACGUGUAGCGGUGAAAUGCGCAGAUAUCAGGAGGAACACCAAUAGCGAAGGCAGCUCGCUGGGACGGUACUGACGCUGAGGCGCGAAAGCGUGGGGAGCGAACAGG
RNAcentral lists this ribosomal RNA (253 nucleotides) under uncultured bacterium. RNAcentral's name for it is "partial 16S ribosomal RNA". It matches the Rfam family "Bacterial small subunit ribosomal RNA", at positions 524 to 776 of the family's 1533-position model. The record is from RNAcentral.